RNAcentral lists this ribosomal RNA (586 nucleotides) under Saccharomyces pastorianus. Its description in RNAcentral is "partial large subunit ribosomal RNA". It matches the Rfam family "Eukaryotic large subunit ribosomal RNA", at positions 51 to 653 of the family's 3401-position model. Lineage: Eukaryota; Fungi; Ascomycota; Saccharomycetes; Saccharomycetales; Saccharomycetaceae. The record is from RNAcentral.
CGGAGGAAAAGAAACCAACAGGGAUUGCCUCAGUAGCGGCGAGUGAAGCGGCAAAAGCUCAAAUUUGAAAUCUGGCACCUUCGGUGUCCGAGUUGUAAUUUGAAGAUUGUAACCUUGGGGUUGGCUCUUGUCUAUGUUUCUUGGAACAGGACGUCACAGAGGGUGAGAAUCCCGUGCGAUGAGAUGCCCAAUCCUAUGUAAGGUGCUUUCGAAGAGUCGAGUUGUUUGGGAAUGCAGCUCUAAGUGGGUGGUAAAUUCCAUCUAAAGCUAAAUAUUGGCGAGAGACCGAUAGCGAACAAGUACAGUGAUGGAAAGAUGAAAAGAACUUUGAAAAGAGAGUGAAAAAGUACGUGAAAUUGUUGAAAGGGAAGGGUUUGAGAUCAGACUCGAUAUUUUGUGAGCCUUGCCUUCGUGGCGGGGUGACCCGCAGCUUAUCGGGCCAGCAUCGGUUUGGGCGGUAGGAUAAUGGCGUAGGAAUGUGACUUUGCUUCGGUGAAGUGUUAUAGCCUGCGUUGAUGCUGCCUGCCUAGACCGAGGACUGCGAUUUUAUCAAGGAUGCUGGCAUAAUGAUCCCAAACCGCCCGUC